This 912-nucleotide long non-coding RNA is filed under the name Parus major (Great Tit). Its description in RNAcentral is "lncRNA (ENSPMJG00000009366.1)". The record is from RNAcentral. Lineage: Eukaryota; Metazoa; Chordata; Aves; Passeriformes; Paridae.
AAUUUAAUUAUAUUUCAGCUUUCUUCCUUUUGCCAUGAGAAUGGUCAAUAAAGUGUGUGCUAAACCAACUCACAAAUGGCAUUUUAGACGCUGAUGGGAGGAGAUGGAAAGGAGAGAGAAUUUUCCAAACCUGAAAAUAACCCUUGUUUCCAAAGUCACAGUCACUGUCAGAGCCAGCACCCUGGAGUUUUGCUGUAUGCUGACAAAGCCCUUCCAUUUUACUUGAACCUUUUUCUGAAGGAUGAGCCACAUCAUGCCAAGGCUGUCUGAACCUCAGAUACUGUAAAUGGGCAGCAGACAACAUGCUCUGGUGAAAUGAAAUGGUGGAAGGAAAUUUGUCCAUGGACCUGCAUGAGAGGGUGGUCAUCUCACACAGGAUGUGCUAAAAAGAUGAGAAGAUAUGGUCCUUAUCAGAGGGGCAUCUUUUGAUGAGGUGUUAAAGAUCCUGAGCUAAAAAAUUCUGUGCAACUGUGUGUGCCACUUGAUGCAUGUCAUGUACACAGAUGGUCUGUGCCAGCAGAAUAGUAUGUAGUCUGUACAAUGUGAAUGUAAGCUGAUCCCUAGCAAUUGACCAUGCAUAGAUAUUUGUUCCCUUAAAUUGAUUUUGAAAUCUGCAUGGACAAAAGAAAACAAGUAACCAGAAGAGUUUUCUGAUGGACUAAAUACCAAAAUAAUAUUGUUUAAGAAUGAUUUCUUCCUAUAAUGAUAGAAAUGCUAUCCAAGUAGGGGAAAAAAAAAAGUUAUUUUAAAUUAAUUAUGUUUCUCUUUUGAGUUCAAAAGUAAACAAGGCACUGAGAAAAACAAGGGGACUGUGUUGAAAUUACUACUGUUGUUACUAAAAGCAACUCUUUUGAGCCUGUGGCUAUGUUGGAGGGAGUAAUAAACAUUUCAAAAAUCAAGGGCUGACUUACA